AAACGAGUUAACUGAACCUUCGGGGGACGUUAACGGCGUCGAGCGGCGGACGGGUGAGUAAUGCCUGGGAAAUUGCCCUGAUGUGGGGGAUAACCAUUGGAAACGAUGGCUAAUACCGCAUAAUAGCUUCGGCUCAAAGAGGGGGACCUUCGGGCCUCUCGCGUCAGGAUAUGCCCAGGUGGGAUUAGCUAGUUGGUGAGGUAAAGGCUCACCAAGGCGACGAUCCCUAGCUGGUCUGAGAGGAUGAUCAGCCACACUGGAACUGAGACACGGUCCAGACUCCUACGGGAGGCAGCAGUGGGGAAUAUUGCACAAUGGGCGCAAGCCUGAUGCAGCCAUGCCGCGUGUAUGAAGAAGGCCUUCGGGUUGUAAAGUACUUUCAGUCGUGAGGAAGGUGAUGUAGUUAAUAACUGCAUCAUUUGACGUUAGCGACAGAAGAAGCACCGGCUAACUCCGUGCCAGCAGCCGCGGUAAUACGGAAGGGUGCGAGCGUUAAUCGGAUUACUGGGCGUAANGCGC
RNAcentral lists this ribosomal RNA (519 nucleotides) under Vibrio areninigrae. RNAcentral describes it as "bacterial SSU rRNA". It matches the Rfam family "Bacterial small subunit ribosomal RNA", at positions 60 to 568 of the family's 1533-position model. The record is from RNAcentral. Lineage: Bacteria; Pseudomonadati; Pseudomonadota; Gammaproteobacteria; Vibrionales; Vibrionaceae.